UCACCUGAUGGGAGUGAAGAAAAAAAACCUUGAGAGAACCAAAUGUAAAUUAUUCUUAUGUUUUGAUAAUUUGCUGUAGGUUCUGGAGCUGAAAACAGACAUGUUGAGGCUGGUGAUGAAGUGUGUUAUGCUUCAUUAGACAUGCCUUCCACACAGCAACAAAGGCAGAGGAAUGAAAGAGCUCAGAGUUCAGACUUCAGUAUUUAUUCUAAUGUCAGAACCAGCAGAAUGUAAAGUAGAGUAAACUAAAGUCAUUGUUCUUUAGUAGAAAUAUGAUUCAAAAGAGAGUUAAUGGCAAUGUUCUGGCAUCUGCAUCCUAUUUUCAUUGAUUCUAAUAUUGUAAGUUUUUAAUGAUUAAAAAUGUAAAUACAUUUAA
Molecule: non-coding RNA, 376 nt
Organism: Danio rerio (zebrafish)
Lineage: Eukaryota; Metazoa; Chordata; Actinopteri; Cypriniformes; Danionidae
Source: RefSeq, a predicted model, not a curated record